CAGUUUAAGACCUGUGUGGCUAGGUCCAUUUUUUCCCAUUAAUUCUUGAUAUUCUUGACCUUUUGUUCUUUCAGAUGAAUUUUAAAAUUAUUUUUCCCAGCUCUUCGAAAUGAUUUUGUGGUAGUUUGAUUGAAAUGCUGAUGAUUUAGGAUAAGUUCAAACUUGAGAAGAAGAGGAAAACAAAUGAAGGAUGCUAAGUGAAAUCUCUUAUGCAUUUAUCAACAAAACAAGGCCCAAAUGGAAUAAAGUGACUUGAC
RNAcentral lists this long non-coding RNA (257 nucleotides) under Monodelphis domestica (gray short-tailed opossum). Its description in RNAcentral is "lncRNA (ENSMODG00000041228.1)". Lineage: Eukaryota; Metazoa; Chordata; Mammalia; Didelphimorphia; Didelphidae. The record is from RNAcentral.